AUGCACUGUCUACCCUCAGAUAACGUUCCUUUGGCACGUUCUGGGGAACAGUGGCUUGACUCUCACUGUACUUCUUACUCCAUUUUCUCUCCAGUUUCUCUAAUUUUCACACUUUUGAAUGCCAGCCUUGCCAAGCUUGGCAUUAUCAAGAGGCUGUGGUUGAUAAAGCAGGUACAAGUAUAUGAGAUGGGAGGAUAUGUUUGAACUCAGGCACUGUUUUAGCAAAAUGUGUUCUGUCUCAGUCAGCACAGGAAAAAAAGCUUUUAACAUUCCCGUUAAGAAGACUCACAGGCUCCGCACACAUUAAAUAACUCUCACAAAACAACAUUUUAAUGAUUUACGUGUAAAUGAAUCAGAAACACAUGGACGACAUUUCUCUUGGAAUACACAAGGGUUUUAAAACUGAAGGAGAAAGAGCUUGGCAAAAUGCACACUGUGCUGGGAAGAGGGCCCCUGCCCAGUAAAGACAUUCCCUCAAUUCAUGCUGCCACGGAGUUUGCCCUCUCCUAAUUUAGGGCAUAUACUGGGAACUGCAGUCAUUUGUUCUGGGUACAGAGGGAAGAGCUUGGGCGAGAAAGCCAUCAGCUUCUCCUUGGAAAGUGUCACAGAGCAAUUAGGCCUCCUGGAAUAAUUUUCUAGCCAUGUUUCUUCAAGGCUGCCAAUGUUCAAUGGAAAGCAUUCGAGAUGUGUUCUAAGCCAAAGUUCUGCCAAUAUAUAGCAGAUCUGAUAUGUGCGCUUCCCUGGGAGUUAGCCAAGGCUCAGAGGAAAUCUGCAUAAAAACAGGAACUACGUGGCCCAGGAAUGAUCUGCAUGUGAUUCAGGACAGUUUUCUACUUGGUUACACUACAUAUUGUCUGAUGCUUUUGAUGAAUCUCCCUGAAGUGUCACUAAGAGAUCAUGGGUCAUCAGGGGUGGGAGGAAUGGAAGGGACAUUAGGCUGGAAACAGAACUGGGCUCAGUGACUAUAGGCCAGCUUGCAUGUGACCUUGGAAACUUCAGAUGAGUGGACUGGUCACGUGAUACAGCAAUGACAAAAACUUCAGUAUUGGCAUUCAUUCCAGCUGAUGGCAUUCCAGGAGCUUUUAAUGAAUUAAAGCCACAUUUGCCUGAAGAAGCCAGCGAAGUUACUAACUGGUUCAAAAACGAUUAUGUGCAUGAUGGGCAGUAUUGUUGCAGUUCAAUCACCAGUAUUGCUUCCACCAGAUUUGUGGUCUAUAUAUGUGUGCAUAUGGAAUAGAUUUCCACAGACCCACAACACGGAAGCAUGGCACAGAAGAUGGGAAAAAAUGGGGAAUACUCAUGUAGUUGUAUACUAAACCAUAGAAGAAUUUUGAAAAGAGCAGUGUCACAUGGAAAAUAAAUGUGAACAUAUUCUCCAAGGACAGCCAUGUCGUAAAAGAAAAAAAGCAGCUAUUUUUUGUGAUGUGAGACUUAAAAAUAUAGUUAAUGACUGUGAAAGUUGGCCAGCUCUUAUGGACUAUCUCCAUGCAAUUGCCCAUAAUCUAGCUCCAUAACUUUUUUAUUUGUUGAAUUUUCUUUUUAGUUUUUAGUUUUUAUUUUUAGUUUUUUUCACUAUUUGAAAUUGUCAGCAUUAUUUUUUUAUAAUUCGCCAUGCUACCUAUUUCAUCUUUGCAUCAUUUCCAAUACUGCAUGCAUCGUAUAAAGAGUUUUAGAGAGUCCUAAUUUGCUUUGUGCAUUUUUGCAAAUGUAACUCCAUGAAAGUGCAUUUUCAAAAUGUUGAACUUGUGUGUAAGCAGUAUGUGUGUGCAUAAAGACAUUAAAACUUCCUCGACAAAUGAAAAUGUAUCUUCUUUGUACAUCUGCUUUUAUGAAAGAUAAAAUUUCUCAAUGCCUUGGCUCUUUGGGCAACUGAUGUGGUGGUGAUAUGGUAGUGACUCAUCACGGUUUUUGAUCAAUCUUAUCAAAAGACUUAGAAGAGUCUAAGAAUCACAGCAUUUCAGAUGACUGCUGUAUAAAGCUGGGGGCACACAAUUACCAACCACAGUGUGAUAUACAUUUUUAUAUUUUGCUUUUUGAUUUAUUUAUUUAUGAAUAUGGUUCAUCUGCUCAUAACUGUUAUACCCAUGUGACUGUUGUUAGUAUAUCUGAGUGUUUCUGCUUGCAAAAAUAUGGUAUUAUUGUCCAUUUUAUUGUGUAAAGUAGCCUAUGAAGAGUUCUGUCAUGUUUUUGCAUGUUUCUUAAAUAAAUCCCCUUUAAAAAUGUAAGUAAAUAUUUUACAACGUUUUGAAAACUUUUUUUUUUUUUUAAGACGGAGUCUCGCUUUUUUUGUUGUUGCCCAGGCUGGAGUGCAGUGGCACAAUCUCGGCUCACUGCAACAUCCACCUCCUGGGUUCAAGCGAUUCUCCUGCCUCAGCCUCCUGAGUAGCUGGGAUUACAGGCAUCCGCCACCAUGCCUGGCUAAUUUUUGUAUUUUUAGUAGAGAUGGGGUUUCGCCAUGUUGGCCAGGCUGGUUUUGAACUCCUGGCCUCUGGUGAUCCGCCCACCUCGGCCUCCCAAAGUGCUGGGAUUACAGGCGUGAGCCACCACACCCGGCUGAAAAAGUUUUUUCUAAAAUAUUUUUGGAAUUUUGUUUUUCAGGAUUUUAACAUUGGGGAUGAUGGCAUUUGGGAUUAUGGUCAGCUCCCAUCUUGGACUUCUGGCCUCUAGAAUUGUGAGAAAAUAAAUAUCUGUGAUUUAAGCC
Molecule: long non-coding RNA, 2701 nt
Filed under: Homo sapiens (human)
Lineage: Eukaryota; Metazoa; Chordata; Mammalia; Primates; Hominidae
Description: HSALNT0065934
Source: RNAcentral